RNAcentral lists this ribosomal RNA (253 nucleotides) under uncultured bacterium. RNAcentral's name for it is "partial 16S ribosomal RNA". It matches the Rfam family "Bacterial small subunit ribosomal RNA", at positions 524 to 776 of the family's 1533-position model. The record is from RNAcentral.
UACGUAGGGGGCGAGCGUUGUCCGGAAUUAUUGGGCGUAAAGGGCGCGCAGGCGGUCCUUUAAGUCUGGCGUAUAAGCGCGGGGCUCAACCCCGUAGAUGCGCUGGAAACUGGGGGACUUGAGUGCGGGAGAGGAAGGCGGAAUUCCCGGUGUAGCGGUGAAAUGCGUAGAGAUCGGGAGGAACACCAGUGGCGAAGGCGGCCUUCUGGACCGUAACUGACGCUGAGGCGCGAAAGCGUGGGGAGCAAACAGG